RNAcentral lists this ribosomal RNA (301 nucleotides) under uncultured bacterium. RNAcentral's name for it is "partial 16S ribosomal RNA". It matches the Rfam family "Bacterial small subunit ribosomal RNA", at positions 509 to 807 of the family's 1533-position model. The record is from RNAcentral.
CAGCAGCCGCGGGAAUACGAAGGGUGCAAGCGUUAAUCGGAAUUACUGGGCGUAAAGCGUGCGUAGGCGGUGAGUUAAGUCUGCUGUGAAAUCCCCGGGCUCAACCUGGGAAUGGCAGUGGAUACUGGCUCGCUAGAGUGUGUCAGAGGAUGGUGGAAUUCCCGGUGUAGCGGUGAAAUGCGUAGAGAUCGGGAGGAACAUCAGUAGCGAAGGCGGCCAUCUGGGACAACACCGACGCUGAGGCACGAAAGCGUGGGGAGCAAACAGGAUUAGAUACCCGCGUAGUCCCUGUCUCUUAUAC